RNAcentral lists this ribosomal RNA (912 nucleotides) under uncultured delta proteobacterium. RNAcentral's name for it is "bacterial SSU rRNA". It matches the Rfam family "Bacterial small subunit ribosomal RNA", at positions 28 to 916 of the family's 1533-position model. The record is from RNAcentral. Lineage: Bacteria; Deltaproteobacteria.
AACGAACGCUGGCGGCGUGCUUAACACAUGCAAGUCGAACGAGAAAGAGUUCUUCGGAACUUGAGUAAAGUGGCGCACGGGUGAGUAACGCGUAGAUAACCUGCCCUGAUGUCUGGGAUAACCCUUCGAAAGGGGGACUAAUACCGGAUAAUCUGGGUAGCCGUAAGGUUACCCAGGAAAGAUGGCCUCUGAUUUAAGCUAUCGCAUUUGGAGGGGUCUGCGUACCAUUAGCUUGUUGGUGGGGUAAUGGCCUACCAAGGCAACGAUGGUUAGCGGGUCUGAGAGGAUGAUCCGUCACACUGGCACUGAAACACGGGCCAGACUCCUACGGGAGGCAGCAGUGAGGAAUAUUGCGCAAUGGGGGAAACCCUGACGCAGCGACGCCGCGUGAGUGAGGAAGGCCUUCGGGUCGUAAAGCUCUGUCAGAAGGGAAGAAGUGUGCAACGGUUAAUACCCGUUGCAUUUGACGGUACCUUCAAAGGAAGCACCGGCUAACUCCGUGCCAGCAGCCGCGGUAAUACGGAGGGUGCAAGCGUUGUUCGGAAUCACUGGGCGUAAAGGGCGCGCAGGCGGUUUGAUUAGUCAGAUGUGAAAGCCCACGGCUUAACCGUGGAAGUGCAUUUGAAACUGUCAGACUUGAGUAUCAGAGGGGAAAGUGGAAUUCCCGGUGUAGAGGUGAAAUUCGUAGAUAUCGGGAGGAAUACCGGUGGCGAAGGCGACUUUCUGGCUGAAUACUGACGCUGAGGCGCGAAAGCGUGGGGAGCAAACAGGAUUAGAUACCCUGGUAGUCCACGCCGUAAACGAUGUCAACUAGGUGUAGGGGGUGUUGAUCCCCUCUGUGCCGCAGCUAACGCAUUAAGUUGACCGCCUGGGGAGUACGGUCGCAAGAUUAAAACUCAAAGGAAUUGACGG